This 73-nucleotide transfer RNA is filed under the name Camelus bactrianus (Bactrian camel). It matches the Rfam family "tRNA". Rfam says of the family: Transfer RNA (tRNA) molecules are approximately 80 nucleotides in length. Their secondary structure includes four short double-helical elements and three loops (D, anti-codon, and T loops). The record is from Rfam by way of RNAcentral. Lineage: Eukaryota; Metazoa; Chordata; Mammalia; Artiodactyla; Camelidae. RNAcentral also lists the same sequence under 2 other names.
UAGGAUGUGGUAUAAUGUGGUAACAUGAAGAAUUUUGAAUUCUUAGGGGUAGGUUCAAUUCCUGUAUUUCUAG